CUAUUUAUGAGAAUUAUUCUCUCUUACCA
Molecule: transfer RNA, 29 nt
Filed under: Xenocatantops brachycerus
Lineage: Eukaryota; Metazoa; Arthropoda; Insecta; Orthoptera; Acrididae
Also listed under: 1 other name
Description: partial tRNA-Tyr
Source: RNAcentral